Molecule: long non-coding RNA, 1503 nt
Organism: Chiroxiphia lanceolata (lance-tailed manakin)
Lineage: Eukaryota; Metazoa; Chordata; Aves; Passeriformes; Pipridae
Exons: 2
Source: RefSeq, a predicted model, not a curated record
GAUCCACUGGAUGAUACAGCAAGUUUUUCCAAAAGCAGGAGCAACUUUGCACAGUUAGCAGGCGUGAAUACCAAAAGACCUGUACGCUUCUUUAACAGUUGUUUGACUGAAAUGCACAUAACUACCAAAAACCAUUGCACUCUCCUAGUAGGAAUCCAUUAGAAAUCACAGUUCAAGAAGGGUUUCUAUUUCACCUUAUAUUCUGACUGAUGAGUUGUAACUGUAUGGAGAAACCCCAGGAUUGAUAUAGGAGAUUGUAUCCGAAGCUUUUUAUGUCCAUCCUUAGAGAAAGCUGGAAGAAGCAUUUGUAUGUGGAUGAAUCAGCAGGGAAAGACCUGAAGUGCAUUAUUUAUACUUCAAUCGCCUGAAGCUCCGUCAUCAGUAACAAAAAAUGUCCAAGUUGAGCCUUUGCCAGCUAAGCAAUGUGCUGGAAUGACCAUAAGCCUGGCUCUGCCAUUGCACUUUGUGGGGAGGGUUAAAUGGUUAAUUAUUGAGUAAAAUGGUGGCUAAUGUUUCCAUUUGAUUUAUUGAAGAGCACUUUGAACAGAAAGAAUGAACUGGUGCUGAAAGGACUUGGGGAAAACCUGCAGGAUGAACUUAAGAAAAUGGUUUUGUGUUGCUUUAUUGUUUCAGUUUUUUCCCCCUACCCCAGUCAGUGGACAUGAAUCAAACUGGUCAUAUAUCAUAUUUCAUAUAUUGCCUUUGCUAAUGGCAUGUGCUUGUAUGGAACCAGACUGGGGCAGUGGGAGUUUUACAAGGCUCCCAUGGUGCAUAACUGAGUCUCAAACUCCAGAGUUCAUUGCAAAUGCAUUUUUGAAGUGUUGUUUUGUUGGUUUUUUUUAUGGUUCGAUUACAUUAUCUACUAGUAUCAUUUAGUUUGCAGUCAAAUUACACUUUCUUUUUUGUCUUGAUCUGUUAGGCCUGAUACAGCAGCCCCUCAUUUGCAUGGAUAGAAUCCUGUGGUCCAGAGCUCAGUAUUUUACCAGCUAUCCUAACAAAAGCUGUGUGUAAAGGCAUUUGAGCUCCCAGUUUUGGUGGGUUUUUAAAACAUUUUUAAUAAACUGAGCUGUUAGUGUACAUUCUGCAGAGAAGAGAAAGGCAGAAGGCAGCACUGGUCUGGUUGCUGUGUUUCUCCUGCUGUAGCAACCCUCAUAGCAGCAGAUGGCAUGCUGCCCCCAUGGUUGUAAAUCCUCCCAUACAGGGUCUGGCUGGCAGCUAUCUACAAAUAUGCAAUAAAAAGGCUCACACUUGGAAGCAGAAACAUCAGACAUAUAUCAGAUGACUAAGUUAAUACACAUUUAUAUAAAUAUUCAGGAUUGCUUGAAUCGUUUUAUUUGCAGAAUGGAUAAUGGAAAAUCUGCAUGCUUCAGCCAUGUUGAAAGGAUUUCUCUGUUUGCUCGUGUGCUUGCAUACAGACAGACAAUGGUUAGAGACGGGUGAACAGUCUAAUGAAAAUGUAGAACAAGUCUUCUAUAUAAAUAAACAAAUUUUUUCAUUGAUUAA